This is a long non-coding RNA of Catharus ustulatus (Swainson's thrush), 703 nucleotides long. RefSeq lists it as uncharacterized. The record is from RefSeq and is a predicted model, not a curated record. The transcript has 3 exons. NCBI's taxonomy places the organism in Eukaryota, Metazoa, Chordata, Aves, Passeriformes, Turdidae.
GUUCUUCUCCCAAGGAAAGUUCUGUGUCACCACUCACAAUUCAUAACCAGGCAACUCUCAAAUUAUCCAUGAGGGAACCAGGACAGAAAGGCUGCCAGAGUUUUCUGCUGGAAAAUUGAUUCCCAGGUGUCUUUAUCCUUGCUGGGAUUUGGGAACACUUUUCUACGUUUGAACACCUGUUUUGAAGCACAGGUACAGUAAAAGCACCUGCACCUACCAAAGCCUGUGCACAGAGAGUGCCAUUGCUAAAUCCUUCUCAACACUGGCAGAGCAUCCAAGAAUCCCCUCAUCCUUGUUUUUCAGAGCACCUGAGUGACAGCUGGAGUCCAACUGUUACAGCAGUGCAAACAACAUCCAUGGGUGCAUGAACACACAGUCUAAGCCUGGGACCACACCUGAGCUGCUGCUCCUUGGUGGUUGUGAUUCGGGAGCAGCUUGGCUGAUCUGUACUGCGAGGAUCUCAUCUGCUACUCCAACUUCUUGCCCUGCCUAUGGCAUUCUUCUGGAUUCACCCAAUUUAAAGUGUGAGAGAGAAAGAGAGAGAGAGAGAGUUCAAGACAGCAAACAAGAGGUUUUACCUGGGUUUACCUGCGUGCCCAAGAGGUUUUACCUGGGUUUGAUGUCCCUGGAGGAGCGCGUGGCCUUUCCCUCGGCAGCAUCGCCACGGCAGCAUAGGUGACAUCCCCUGCCAUCCGUCAGCCUG